RNAcentral lists this ribosomal RNA (304 nucleotides) under uncultured bacterium. RNAcentral describes it as "bacterial SSU rRNA". It matches the Rfam family "Bacterial small subunit ribosomal RNA", at positions 28 to 334 of the family's 1533-position model. The record is from RNAcentral.
GACGAACGCUGGCGGCGUGCCUAACACAUGCAAGUCGAACGGAGUUAAGUCUUCGGAUUUAACUUAGUGGCGAACGGGUGAGUAACGCGUGAGGAACCUGCCUUUCAGUGGGGGACAACAGUUGGAAACGACUGCUAAUACCGCAUAAUGUUAUCGGUCGCAUGGCCUGAUAACCAAAGAUUUAUUGCUGAAAGAUGGCCUCGCGUCUGAUUAGAUAGUUGGUGGGGUAACGGCCUACCAAGUCGACGAUCAGUAGCCGGACUGAGAGGUUGAACGGCCACAUUGGGACUGAGAUACGGCCCAG